Molecule: ribosomal RNA, 50 nt
Filed under: Cortinarius anomalus
Lineage: Eukaryota; Fungi; Basidiomycota; Agaricomycetes; Agaricales; Cortinariaceae
Description: partial 25S ribosomal RNA
Source: RNAcentral
AUUCCCCUAGUAACUGCGAGUGAAGCGGGAAAAGCUCAAAUUUAAAAUCU